UCAGAUGCAGCGCAGGACGCGCUCAGCCUGAUCAAGGACGUAUGACUCUGCCAGGAUGGCAUGUCGACAGGAUGUCGAGCUUGGUCAGCAAAUAACCCGCUUCGGCGGGUUUUU
Molecule: small RNA, 114 nt
Filed under: Pseudomonas duriflava
Lineage: Bacteria; Pseudomonadati; Pseudomonadota; Gammaproteobacteria; Pseudomonadales; Pseudomonadaceae
Source: RNAcentral